This 330-nucleotide ribosomal RNA is filed under the name uncultured eukaryote. RNAcentral describes it as "partial 18S ribosomal RNA". It matches the Rfam family "Eukaryotic small subunit ribosomal RNA", at positions 1470 to 1796 of the family's 1831-position model. The record is from RNAcentral.
CCCUUAGAUGUUCGGGGCCGCACGCGCGCUACACUGAAGGACUCAGCGUGUCUCUCCCCCUAUCCCGAAAGGGAUGGGCAACCCGUUGAACCUCCUUCGUGCUAGGGAUUGGGGUUUGCAAUUAUCCCCCAUGAACGAGGAAUUCCCAGUAAGCGCGAGUCAUCAGCUCGCGUUGAUUACGUCCCUGCCCUUUGUACACACCGCCCGUCGCUGCCCGGAACUGAGCCGUUUCGAGAAGACUGAGGAUUGCUGACUUGAGGCCUUCACGGGCUUCUAGUCGGUGAAAAUCAAUUUAAUCGCAGCGGCUUGAACCGGGCAAAAGUCGUAACA